UUUUGAUUAUAAUUUAAAGUCUAACCUGCCCUAUGAUUUAUUAUUAAAUGGCCGCGAUAUUCUGAUCGUGCAAAGGUAGCAUAAUAAUUAGUUUUUUAAUUGAGAACUGGUAUGAAUGGUUGAACGAGAAAAAAACUGUCUCAAUUUAAUUUUAAUUAGAAUUUUAUUUUUAAGUUAAAAAGCUUAAAUAUUUUUAAAAGACGAGAAGACCCUAUAGAGUUUUAUAUAAAUUAUUAUUUUAAAAAAUUUUAGAAUUUUAAAUUUAAUUAUAAUAAUUUAUAUUUGAUUGGGGUGAUUAGAAAAUUAAAAGAACUUUUUUUAAAUUUAAACAUAAAUUUAUGAAUAGAUGAUCC
RNAcentral lists this ribosomal RNA (353 nucleotides) under Macroderes gifboomi. Its description in RNAcentral is "partial large subunit ribosomal RNA". The record is from RNAcentral. Lineage: Eukaryota; Metazoa; Arthropoda; Insecta; Coleoptera; Scarabaeidae.